ACGCUGGCGGCAGGCCUAACACAUGCAAGUCGAGCGGAAACGACACUAACAAUCCCUCGGGUGCGUUAAUGGGCGUCGAGCGGCGGACGGGUGAGUAAUGCCUAGGAAAUUGCCUUGAUGUGGGGGAUAACCAUUGGAAACGAUGGCUAAUACCGCAUAAUGCCUACGGGCCAAAGAGGGGGACCUUCGGGCCUCUCGCGUCAAGAUAUGCCUAGGUGGGAUUAGCUAGUUGGUGAGGUAAUGGCUCACCAAGGCGACGAUCCCUAGCUGGUCUGAGAGGAUGAUCAGCCACACUGGAACUGAGACACGGUCCAGACUCCUACGGGAGGCAGCAGUGGGGAAUAUUGCACAAUGGGCGAAAGCCUGAUGCAGCCAUGCCGCGUGUAUGAAGAAGGCCUUCGGGUUGUAAAGUACUUUCAGUUGUGAGGAAGGGGGUAGYGUUAAUAGCGSMAUCUCUUGACGUUAGCAACAGAAGAAGCACCGGCUAACUCCGUGCCAGCAGCCGCGGUAAUACGGAGGGUGCGAGCGUUAAUCGGAAUUACUGGGCGUAAAGCGCAUGCAGGUGGUUCAUUAAGUCAGAUGUGAAAGCCCGGGGCUCAACCUCGGAACUGCAUUUGAAACUGGUGAACUAGAGUACUGUAGAGGGGGGUAGAAUUUCAGGUGUAGCGGUGAAAUGCGUAGAGAUCUGAAGGAAUACCAGUGGCGAAGGCGGCCCCCUGGACA
Molecule: ribosomal RNA, 723 nt
Filed under: Vibrio sp. 12C01
Lineage: Bacteria; Pseudomonadati; Pseudomonadota; Gammaproteobacteria; Vibrionales; Vibrionaceae
Description: bacterial SSU rRNA
Rfam family: Bacterial small subunit ribosomal RNA
Source: RNAcentral